AUUGAACGCUGGCGGAAUGCUUUACACAUGCAAGUCGAACGGCAGCACGGGUGCUUGCACCUGGUGGCGAGUGGCGAACGGGUGAGUAACAUAUCGGAACGUGCCCAGUAAUGGGGGAUAACUAACCGAAAGGUUAGCUAAUACCGCAUACGCCCUGAGGGGGAAAGCGGGGGAUCGAAAGACCUCGCGUUAUUGGAGCUGCCGAUAUCUGAUUAGCUAGUUGGUAGGGUAAAGGCCUACCAAGGCGACGAUCAGUAGCUGGUCUGAGAGGAUGAUCAGCCACACUGGGACUGAGACACGGCCCAGACUCCUACGGGAGGCAGCAGUGGGGAAUUUUGGACAAUGGGCGAAAGCCUGAUCUAGCCAUUCCGCGUGAGUGAAGAAGGCCUUCGGGUUGUAAAGCUCUUUCGGCAGGAACGAAACGCUCUAGAUUAAUACUCUGGGGUAAUGACGGUACCUGAAGAAGAAGCACCGGCUAACUACGUGCCAGCAGCCGCCGUAA
This 502-nucleotide ribosomal RNA is filed under the name uncultured bacterium. RNAcentral's name for it is "partial 16S ribosomal RNA". It matches the Rfam family "Bacterial small subunit ribosomal RNA", at positions 30 to 523 of the family's 1533-position model. The record is from RNAcentral.